This 1035-nucleotide long non-coding RNA is filed under the name Ailuropoda melanoleuca (giant panda). RNAcentral describes it as "lncRNA (ENSAMEG00000027314.1)". Lineage: Eukaryota; Metazoa; Chordata; Mammalia; Carnivora; Ursidae. The record is from RNAcentral.
AUGGGCGAGAUUUCUUGCUUCUCCCCUGGGUGUGGGAAUUGGAUUCCGAGUUCUCCACAGCCCGUCUCGGGUGGAACUCUCCAGGGGGGUCCAACCGGCCUCCAAGCCUCCAGCCGGAGAUGCCCCGCCCCCUCCCCUCAGUCUACGGAUGAUCUUGCUUCCUCCUCCCGCUCUCUGCCCUGGCCCAGCUCAUGGCCCCGCCCCACACCUACAGCGCCUCUCUGGCCCCCUGCCCUCUCUUUUACUUCCUCCAAUCCAUCCUCCUCCCGACUCUCCGGCCCCAGGGUGAUCUGUCUAAAGCGCAAAAUUGACCAUCUUCUCUCCCAUCUCAAACUGGCUUUGGCUCCCCAGUGCCCUUCAGUUCUGGCUGGCAUUCAAGACCUUCUCGAGCUAGCGGUUCUCAUGUACCACUCCCUGCCCCUUGAACCUGCGGUCCCCAGCCCCCUCAGUGUCCCCAACAGGCAGGCCGGGCACGUCGGCCAUGUGACCGCAGUGCGUGGCCAGCCCUCUGUGGCUGCCCAUCACGCUGCAAUGGGCCUGCCUGGCUGCCCCCUGCUACUCUGUGGGCCUGACCUGCACACAGCGGGCACCGGAAGUGCUCCCCCCUCCCCCAGAGAUGCUGCUGCCACUGGGCCACGGCAGUGGUUUCCCCAGGCUCCCACGGAGUCUGGGCUUUCUGGAAGCACCACUUUGAGUAGAAGUCCUGAGGGUCUCGCCCUGGGAGCCAUGCCGUGGAGAGAGCCUCCUUUCCACUUGACCUCCUGCUGCUGGGCCCUUGUGUGCCUUAGAGAGCCCAGGGUGGUCCCCAUUCUCUGCUUUUCUCCCCCAAAUUCACUUUAUCUUGGGAACACCUCAGGAACAGUGCCUGACGACCAUCCUCAGGGUGUGUGUAGACCCUCUCCCACUUUCUCAUGUGCCCCCAAUUCAGCAAAGGCGACAGGCUUUGGUGCCCUUUGCCCUACUUCCAUGCCCAGAUUCCCACUCGGGGUGCUCCGCAGUGGCCAACCGUGUCGGGCGGGGGCUGCUGAAGGAUGA